This 785-nucleotide ribosomal RNA is filed under the name uncultured bacterium. Its description in RNAcentral is "bacterial SSU rRNA". It matches the Rfam family "Bacterial small subunit ribosomal RNA", at positions 20 to 788 of the family's 1533-position model. The record is from RNAcentral.
UGGCUCAGGACGAACGCUGGCGGCGUGCCUAAUACAUGCAAGUAGAACGCUGAAGAGAGGAGCUUGCUCUUCUUGGAUGAGUUGCGAACGGGUGAGUAACGCGUAGGUAACCUGCCUUGUAGCGGGGGAUAACUAUUGGAAACGAUAGCUAAUACCGCAUAACAAUGAAUGACACAUGUCAUUUAUUUGAAAGGGGCAAUUGCUCCACUACAAGAUGGACCUGCGUUGUAUUAGCUAGUAGGUGAGGUAGCGGCUCACCUAGGCGACGAUACAUAGCCGACCUGAGAGGGUGAUCGGCCACACUGGGACUGAGACACGGCCCAGACUCCUACGGGAGGCAGCAGUAGGGAAUCUUCGGCAAUGGGGGCAACCCUGACCGAGCAACGCCGCGUGAGUGAAGAAGGUUUUCGGAUCGUAAAGCUCUGUUGUAAGUCAAGAACGAGUGUGAGAGUGGAAAGUUCACACUGUGACGGUAGCUUACCAGAAAGGGACGGCUAACUACGUGCCAGCAGCCGCGGUAAUACGUAGGUCCCGAGCGUUGUCCGGAUUUAUUGGGCGUAAAGCGAGCGCAGGCGGUUUGAUAAGUCUGAAGUUAAAGGCUGUGGCUCAACCAUAGUUCGCUUUGGAAACUGUCAAACUUGAGUGCAGAAAGGGAGAGUGGAAUUCCAUGUGUAGCGGUGAAAUGCGUAGAUAUAUGGAAGGAACACCGGUGGCGAAAGCGCUCUCUGGUCUGUAACUGACGCUGAGGCUCGAAAGCGUGGGGAGCGAACAGGAUUAGAUACCCC